This is a long non-coding RNA of Labrus mixtus (cuckoo wrasse), 931 nucleotides long. RefSeq lists it as uncharacterized. The transcript is spliced from 3 exons. NCBI's taxonomy places the organism in Eukaryota, Metazoa, Chordata, Actinopteri, Labriformes, Labridae. The record is from RefSeq and is a predicted model, not a curated record.
AUGCUAGGGUUGAUAUGGGUAUGUUUUUGCAUUGUUCCUGUUCUAUGUCUAGCCAUGGGUGGGAUUGUUCGGUGGGGUGUAUUCAUUUUGUUAUGAUUUGUAACUGGUUUGCAAGGAAGUAGUUAUAAAAGUUUGGUGCAUCUAGUCCUCUGGUAUUUUUUGGUGUUUGAAGUGUUUAAGGAACUGAACCAUGUGGGGGGGGGGGGGGUGGACAUGCUGGGAUCAUAGAGAAAAGGUAAUUUAUUUUGGGAAGUAUGGUCAUUUUUGUGAUUGCUAUUCUUCCUAUGAGUGAUACCGGUAGAUUCAUCCAUCUGGUCGUGUCGUCUUCUAUAUUUCUGAUAAGUGGCUUGAUGACGUUAGACCGUUGACUGUGACUGUUGCUCUUGGUGAGUUGUAUAGUGUUUUGACCCAGGUGAUAAAUGACUUUCCCAAUCCAAAUUUAUGAAGUGUGGCAAGUAAAAAUGUCCAGUUUACGCGGUCAAAUGCUUUUUCAGCAUCUGAAGAAGCUAUUAUUGUUUCUUCUGUGGUCUGUGUUGCUUGGUGAAUUAUGUUGAAUAGUCUGCGUGUGUUAUUGUUUGCGUGUCUACCUUUAAUAAAACCUGUUUGAUCAAUGUGGAUUAUGGAUGGAGUGACCAUUUCGAUUCUUGUGGAUAGUGCUUCGCUAAUUAUUUUUAUGUCUGUAUUGAUGAGGGAUAUUGGGGCGGUAACUGGAGGUGAGGGUAGGAUCUUUAUCUGGUUUCAAUAUUACUGAGAUGUUGGCGGUGUUCAUAUGUGAAGGGAUUUUUCCGGAAUUUAUUAGAUCUUCUGUCAUUCUGAUGAAUAGUGGUGAAAUGGUUGACCAGAAAUGUCUAUAAAACUCAGCGGGGAAGCCAUCAGGUCCUGGUGCUUUGUUAGGGGGAAUUAACUUUAGUGCUGAAUAGAAUUCUUCUUU